Long non-coding RNA from Homo sapiens (human), 2744 nucleotides. The record is from Ensembl. Lineage: Eukaryota; Metazoa; Chordata; Mammalia; Primates; Hominidae.
CGCGGAAGUCGGCCUGGUCCCUCCCCUGGGCUGGAUGGGCCCGCUCCUCCCGAGCGGUCGUGCUCUGAGUUGAAUGCGAUAGAGGCUUCUGGGCGCGUCGCGGGCUAGGUCCAGGAGCUGUGAUCCUCUCCGAGGUCUCAGUGUGCCCGCAGCGCCCCCUGCAGUGCGUCUCCUGCAAGGGGCCCGGAACACAUUCCUGUCCCCGCCAGGCCUGGAGGCCCGAGCGCCUGCUUUUCAUCCACUCUGCCCACCCGCCUCUGCGGUCGGCUGCCUUGGGCGCUGGCCUUAGCAGUUCUGAGUUUGAAUUCAAUCGCCAAUACACAGAAAGCCACACAAAUGUGAAGAUUUGUGAAUUAUUAUCAAAUGAACACCUUUGUAACCACUACCCAAGCCAAGAAACAGUACUUUCCCCCAGAAUACCUUACCCGUGCUCCUUCCCGAUUUCACUCGACUCCCUCCUUCCCAAAGUAGCCACUCUCCUGCCUUUCAUAGUAAUUACUUACCCGAGUUUUUAAAAAAUUGUUGUCACCCAAGUUCGCCUCUCUAGAGGCUAUAAAUUAGACUUGCUCAUUUUGUUAAUAUAUUUUAAGUCUCUUUAAUUUGUAGUUUCUUUCUCCAUCACUUUCUUUUCCUUGCAAUGUAUCCUUGGAAGAAUCUGAAGAGAUUUCUAGUCUGGAUUUCACUGAUUGCAUUCUCCUGGUGCAGUUCAACACAUCUCCCUGUUUUCUGCAUUUCCUGCAAAUUGACAGCUGGAUCCAAAGGCUUGAUCAGACUCAGGUUCAAGAUUUUUGGUGAGACUCCAGGUGGUGGAGUGCUGUUUUGUCAGGAGGCACAUAAUGUCUGGUUGUCUCUAUUUUUUGAGAUCUGAGGAGAGACGAUGUCCAAUGCUUACAUUCAUUAAUUCACUGGGGGAUGAAAAUGGUGAUAUACUAAUUAUAUAAUUUAUUUUUCAUUUAUCAUCUGGGUUGAUUUUAUAAAGAGACUCUUCUCCUCAUCUGCUAUUUGGUUACCCAGUGGAACCGUUCACAGAGGAAAGGCGGCAGUUGCUGUCCAUUGUGGGGUGCAGUCCGGAAGGGAGCCCUCGCAGAUCAGUGAGAGAAUUCACAGACCUUCAGAUCUUACCGCAGAUCUGGUAAGAUCUGGAGUGAGACAAACUGCUGGUUCUCACCCGGCCCCUGCACUGUGGAUGAACAGGGCCCUCAGGUGCCCAGGCCCUGGUAAGCAUCAUUCUACUCCAUGCCUCCGUAAGAUCCACUUUUUUAGCUCCCACAUUUGAGUGAGAACAUGUGAUAUUUGUAUUUUUGUACCUGUUUAUUUCACUCAACAUAAUGAACUCCAGCUCCAUCCAUGUUGCUACAAAUGAAAGGAUAUUAUUCUGUUUUAUGGCCAAAUAAUGUUUCUUUGUGUAUAUAUACCACAUUUUCCUUAUCCAUUCAUUCAUUGGUGGAUUCUUAGGUUGAUUUCACUUCUUGACUAAUAUGAACAGUGCUGUAAUAAACAUGGGAGUGCAGAUAGUUCUUAGGUUUACUGAUUUCCUGUCUUUUGGAUAUAUCCAGCAGUGGGAUUGCUAGAUCAUAUGGUAGUUCUACUUUUAGUUUUUUGAAGCGCCUCCAUACUGUUGUUCAUAGUGGCUGUCCUAGUUUAUAUUCCCACUAACAGUGUAUGAGUGUUCCCCUUUCUCCGAAUCCUUGCCAACGUCUGUUAUUUUUUGUCUUUUUGAUAAUAGCCGUUCUAACUUGGGUGAGAUGGUAUCUCAUCAUGGUUUGAUUUGCAUUUCCUUGAUGAUUAGUGAUAUUGAACAUUUUUUCAUAUACCUGCUGACCGUUUGUAUGCCUUCUUUUGGGAAAUGUCUAUUCAGGUCUUUUGUUCAUUUUAAAAAUGAAGUUAUUUGUUUAAAAAGGAUACUUUGAAUCCAGGCACAGUGGCUCACACCUGUAAUCUCAGCACUUUGGGAGGCUGAAGCGGGCGGAUCACUUGAGGUCAGGAGUUCAAGACCAGCCUGGCCAACAUGGGGGAAAUCCCAUCUCUACUAAAAAUACAAAAAUUAGCCGGGUGUAGUGGUGGGCGCCUGUAAUCCCAGCUACCUGGGAGGCUGAGGCAGGAGAAUCUCUUGAACUUGGGAGGUGGAGGUUGCAGUGAGUUGAGAUCACACCACUGCACUCCAGCUUGGGUGGCAGAAAGAAACUCCAUCUCAAAUAAAUAAAAUAUAGGCUGGGUGUGGUGGCUCAUGCUGUAAUCCCAGCACUUUGGGAGGCCGAGGUGGGCAGAUUGCUUGAGCCCAGGAAUUUGAGGCCAGCCUGAGCAACGUGGCAAAAUCCCAUCUCUACAAAAAUAAUAAUAAAAAAAAUUAGCUGGGCAUGGUGGUAUGCACCUGUAGUCAGUGCCAGCUACUCCAGAGGCUGAGGUGGGAGGCUCACUUGAGCCUGCAAGGUAGAGGCUGACAGAGAGAGACUUUCUCUCAACAACAAUAACAACAAAAUAUAUAUGUAGGCUGGGAGCUGUGGUGCAUGCCUGUAAUCCAAGCAUUUUGGGAGGCCGAGGCAGGAGGAUCACUUGAGUUCAGGAGUUUGAGACCAGCCUGGGCAACAUAGUGAGACUUCAUCUACUAAAAAUACAAAAAAACUAGCUGAGUGUGGUGGGGUGUGCUUAUAGUCCCAGCUACUUGGGAGGCUUAGGUGGGAGAAUCACUUGAGCCUGGGAGUGGAGGCUGAAGUGAGCUAUGAUCUUACCCCUGCACUCCAGCC